This 253-nucleotide ribosomal RNA is filed under the name uncultured bacterium. RNAcentral describes it as "partial 16S ribosomal RNA". It matches the Rfam family "Bacterial small subunit ribosomal RNA", at positions 524 to 776 of the family's 1533-position model. The record is from RNAcentral.
UACGGAGGGUGCAAGCGUUGUCCGGAAUCACUGGGCGUAAAGGGCGCGUAGGCGGCUCAUGAAGGCUGUGGUGAAAGUCCGGGGCUCAACCUCGGAUCGGCCGUGGCGACUCGUGGGCUGGAGCACUGUAGAGGCGGGUGGAAUUCCGGGUGUAGCGGUGGAAUGCGUAGAGAUGUGGAGGAACACCAGUGGCGAAGGCGACUCUUUGGCCUGUAACUGACGCUGAGGCGCGAAAGCGUGGGGAGCAAACAGG